Molecule: ribosomal RNA, 424 nt
Filed under: uncultured Holdemania sp.
Lineage: Bacteria; Bacillati; Bacillota; Erysipelotrichia; Erysipelotrichales; Erysipelotrichaceae
Description: bacterial SSU rRNA
Rfam family: Bacterial small subunit ribosomal RNA
Source: RNAcentral
CCUACGGGAGGCAGCAGUGGGGAAUAUUGGGCAAUGGGGGAAACCCUGACCCAGCAACGCCGCGUGAAGGAAGAAGGCCUUCGGGUUGUAAACUUUUGUCCUAUGGGACGAAAAAAAUGACGGUACCAUAGGAGGAAGCUCCGGCUAACUACGUGCCAGCAGCCGCGGUAAUACGUAGGGAGCAAGCGUUGUCCGGAAUUACUGGGCGUAAAGGGUGCGUAGGUGGCCAUGUAAGUCAGGUGUGAAAGACCGGGGCUCAACCCCGGGGUUGCACUUGAAACUGUGUGGCUUGAGUACAGGAGAGGGAAGUGGAAUUCCUAGUGUAGCGGUGAAAUGCGUAGAUAUUAGGAGGAACACCAGUGGCGAAGGCGACUUUCUGGACUGUAACUGACACUGAGGCACGAAAGCGUGGGGAGCAAACAGG